UUUCCCAUUAAUCUGUUGCUCUUGUCUGUCAGUGAUAAGAGUGGUUAUACACAUGGAAUAAAACAAUAUUGGGCCAUUAUACAUGGAGAUGGAGUGUGUUUUGUCUGUCUAGACACUGUUCUUGGUACCU
Small nucleolar RNA from Rattus norvegicus (Norway rat), 130 nucleotides. Ensembl annotates it as small nucleolar RNA SNORA20. Lineage: Eukaryota; Metazoa; Chordata; Mammalia; Rodentia; Muridae. The record is from Ensembl.